UGAGGAAUAUUGGUCAAUGGACGCAAGUCUGAACCAGCCAAGUCGCGUGAAGGAAGACUGCCCUACGGGUUGUAAACUUCUUUUGUACUAGAGUAAAACAGAGUAUGUAUACUCUCUUGCAAGUAUAGUACGAAUAAGCAUCGGCUAACUCCGUGCCAGCAGCCGCGGUAAUACGGAGGAUGCGAGCGUUAUCCGGAUUUAUUGGGUUUAAAGGGUGCGUAGGCGGGUUCUUAAGUCAGCGGUGAAAGUUUGAGGCUUAACCUUAAAAUUGCCGUUGAAACUGGGUACCUUGAGUGUAAAUGAAGUAGGCGGAAUUCGUAGUGUAGCGGUGAAAUGCAUAGAUAUUACGAAGAACCCCGAUUGCGCAGGCAGCUUACUAAGCUACAACUGACGCUGAAGCACGAAAGCGUGGGUAUCAAACA
This 422-nucleotide ribosomal RNA is filed under the name uncultured bacterium. RNAcentral describes it as "bacterial SSU rRNA". It matches the Rfam family "Bacterial small subunit ribosomal RNA", at positions 355 to 774 of the family's 1533-position model. The record is from RNAcentral.